UACGAAGGGGGCUAGCGUUGUUCGGAAUUACUGGGCGUAAAGCGCGCGCAGGCGGCUCUUCAAGUCAGGGGUGAAAGCCCAGAGCUCAACUCUGGAACUGCCCUUGAAACUGUGGAGCUUGAGUACGGUAGAGGUGAGUGGAAUUCCCAGUGUAGAGGUGAAAUUCGUAGAUAUUGGGAAGAACACCGGUGGCGAAGGCGGCUCACUGGACCGUUUCUGACGCUCAUGCGCGACAGCGUGGGGAUCAAACAGG
RNAcentral lists this ribosomal RNA (253 nucleotides) under uncultured bacterium. RNAcentral describes it as "partial 16S ribosomal RNA". It matches the Rfam family "Bacterial small subunit ribosomal RNA", at positions 524 to 776 of the family's 1533-position model. The record is from RNAcentral.